UCCAUUGGACAGCCCCUCACCGACUCCGAUUUCAACUCGUUUAUUGUCAAUGGUCUUGAUGAGGAGUAUGAUGCCUUAGUCGAGAUCAUCAACGAGCGGGGCAACUCGACACCCAUGCUGGCACACGAGGUUUUCUCUCGGCUCCUUCUCACUGAGCAACGGGUCGAGACACGCCGCUCCAGGGGCACUGGCUUCCUCUCGGCCAACGCCGCCCCCAAGGGUGGCCGCUCUUCUUCAUCACCCCGGUCUCCCUUGGGGCUGCCACCGUCGCCCGCCUCGGCCCCCCCACCUACUGCGACCUUACCGGGGGCUGGCGGUCCACGUGUGUGCCAACUUUGUGGCCGUGAUGGGCACUGGGCCUCCAAGUGUCAUAAGCGCUUCCAGCGAAGCUUCCUUGGUCUU
RNAcentral lists this ribosomal RNA (402 nucleotides) under Triticum aestivum (bread wheat). RNAcentral describes it as "partial small subunit ribosomal RNA". Lineage: Eukaryota; Viridiplantae; Streptophyta; Magnoliopsida; Poales; Poaceae. The record is from RNAcentral.